GACGAACGCUGGCGGCGCGCCUAACACAUGCAAGUCGAACGAGCGAGAGAGAGCUUGCUUUCUCGAGCGAGUGGCGAACGGGUGAGUAACGCGUGAGGAACCUGCCUCAAAGAGGGGGACAACAGUUGGAAACGACUGCUCAUACCGCAUAAGCCCACGGCUCGGCAUCGAGCAGGGGGAAAAGGAGCAAUCCGCUUUGAGAUGGCCUCGCGUCCGAUUAGCUAGUUGGUGAGGUAACGGCCCACCAAGGCGACGACCGGUAGCCGGACUGAGAGGUUGAGCGGCCACAUUGGGACGGAGACACGGCCCAGAAUCCUACGGGAGGCAGCAGUGGGGAAUAUUGCACAAUCGGGGAAACCCUGAUGCAGCGACGCCGCGUGGAGGAAGAAGGUCUGCGGAUUGUAAACUCCUGUUGUUGGGGAAGAUAAUGACGGUACCCAACAAGGAAGUGACGGCUAACUACGUG
Molecule: ribosomal RNA, 466 nt
Filed under: uncultured bacterium
Lineage: Bacteria
Description: partial 16S ribosomal RNA
Rfam family: Bacterial small subunit ribosomal RNA
Source: RNAcentral